RNAcentral lists this ribosomal RNA (253 nucleotides) under uncultured bacterium. Its description in RNAcentral is "partial 16S ribosomal RNA". It matches the Rfam family "Bacterial small subunit ribosomal RNA", at positions 524 to 776 of the family's 1533-position model. The record is from RNAcentral.
UACGUAGGUGGCAAGCGUUGUCCGGAUUUAUUGGGCUUAAAGGGUGCGUAGGCGGCCCUGUAAGUCAGUGCUGAAAUCUCCCAGCUUAACUGGGAGGGUGGCAUUGAUACUGCGGGGCUAGAGUACAGAUGAGGUAGGCGGAAUUGACGGUGGAGCGGUGAAAUGCGUAGAUAUCGUUUGGAACGCCAAAGGUGAAAACAGACAGCUGGGAGUGUGCUGACGCUGAGACACGAAAGCCAGGGGAGCGAACGGG